CAAACGAACGCUGGCCGCAGGCUUAACACAUGCAAGUCGAACGCGUGUAGCAAUACACGAGUGGCGCACGGGUGAGUAACACGUGGAUAUCUGCCUUUUGGUUCGGAAUAACCCCGGGAAACUGGGGCUAAUACCGGAUGGUUCCUACGGGAUAAAGAUUUAUCGCCAAAAGAUGAGUCCGCGUCCGAUUAGCUAGUUGGCGGGGUAAUGGCCCACCAAGGCGACGAUCGGUAGCUGGUCUGAGAGGACGAUCAGCCACACUGGGACUGAGACACGGCCCAGACUCCUACGGGAGGCAGCAGUGGGGAAUAUUGGACAAUGGGGGCAACCCUGAUCCAGCCAUGCCGCGUGAGUGAUGAAGGCCUUCGGGUUGUAAGCUCUUUUGGCGGGGACGAUGAUGACGGUACCCGCAAAAAAGCCCCGGGCUAACUUCGUGCCACCACCCGCCGGUAAGACAAAGGGGGGCUAGCGUUGUUCGAAAUUCUGGGCGUAAAGGGGCGUGCAGGCGGGUGGCAAAGCCGGGGGGUGAAGCCUUGAACCCAACUCAGAAAUGCCCUCGAAACUUGGUGGAUAAAGGACCGGAGAAGAAAAGGGAAUUCCCAGUGAUUGGUGAAAUCCAUAAAAUGGGGAAAACCCCCUUGGGAAGGGGCUUUUCGGAGGUUUCUGAGCCUGAAACCGAAGCGGGGGGGAAAACCAA
RNAcentral lists this ribosomal RNA (697 nucleotides) under uncultured bacterium. RNAcentral's name for it is "bacterial SSU rRNA". It matches the Rfam family "Bacterial small subunit ribosomal RNA", at positions 26 to 775 of the family's 1533-position model. The record is from RNAcentral.